This is a non-coding RNA of Pelobates cultripes (western spadefoot toad), 167 nucleotides long. The record is from the annotation of a GenBank genome assembly. Lineage: Eukaryota; Metazoa; Chordata; Amphibia; Anura; Pelobatidae.
GGUCAGUUGACACAUCCCUGCCAAUCUCCGGCAGACCCUCCCUCCCAGACCCUCCUACUUCCUGGACAGCAUCCAUGUUGAAGGCAGCUUCAACAUGGAUGCUGUCCAGGAGGUGGGAGGGUCUAGGAGGGAGGGUCUGCCGGAGAUUGGCAGGGAUGUGUCAACUG